RNAcentral lists this ribosomal RNA (443 nucleotides) under uncultured bacterium. RNAcentral's name for it is "SSU rRNA". It matches the Rfam family "Bacterial small subunit ribosomal RNA", at positions 26 to 518 of the family's 1533-position model. The record is from RNAcentral.
AGAACGAACGCUGGCGGCAGGCUUAACACAUGCAAGUCGAGCGCCCCGCAAGGGGAGCGGCAGACGGGUGAGUAACGCGUGGGAACAUACCCCUCGGUUCGGAAUAACUCAGGGAAACUUGAGCUAAUACCGGAUACGGUCGAGAGGCGAAAGAUUUAUCGCCGAGGGAUUGGCCCGCGUCCGAUUAGCUAGUUGGUGAGGUAAUGGCUCACCAAGGCGACGAUCGGUAGCUGGUCUGAGAGGAUGAUCAGCCACAUUGGGACUGAGACACGGCCCAAACUCCUACGGGAGGCAGCAGUGGGGAAUAUUGGACAAUGGGCGAAAGCCUGAUCCAGCCAUGCCGCGUGAGUGAUGACGGCCUUAGGGUUGUAAAGCUCUUUCGUCAGGGACGAUAAUGACGGUACCUGAAGAAGAAGCCCCGGCUAACUCGUGCCAGCAGCCGC